RNAcentral lists this ribosomal RNA (253 nucleotides) under uncultured bacterium. RNAcentral describes it as "partial 16S ribosomal RNA". It matches the Rfam family "Bacterial small subunit ribosomal RNA", at positions 524 to 776 of the family's 1533-position model. The record is from RNAcentral.
UACGUAGGUGACAAGCGUUGUCCGGAUUUACUGGGCGUAAAGAGCGCGCAGGCGGUCGAUCAAGUCGAGUGUGAAAGCCCCCGGCUCAACUAGGGAGAGUCAUUCGAUACUGUUCGACUCGAAGGCAGGAGAGGGAAGUGGAAUUCCGGGUGUAGUGGUGAAAUGCGUAGAGAUCGGGAGGAACAUCUGUGGCGAAGGCGGCCAUCUGGACCAGCACUGACACUGAGGCACGAAAGCGUGGGGAGCAAACAGG